CAGAGUGUGGUGUAACGUGGUAGCACAAAGGACUUUGAAUUCUUACGGCUAGGUUCAAUUCCUAUAAUCCUA
RNAcentral lists this transfer RNA (72 nucleotides) under Ovis aries (sheep). It matches the Rfam family "tRNA". From Rfam's summary of the family: Transfer RNA (tRNA) molecules are approximately 80 nucleotides in length. Their secondary structure includes four short double-helical elements and three loops (D, anti-codon, and T loops). The record is from Rfam by way of RNAcentral. Lineage: Eukaryota; Metazoa; Chordata; Mammalia; Artiodactyla; Bovidae.